CAGAUACCAGGUGGCUGCAACUGUUUAUUAAAAACACAGCACUGUGCAAAAUCGUAAGAUGACGUAUACGGUGUGACGCCUGCCCGGUGCCGGAAGGUUAAUUGAUGGGGUUAGACUUCGGUCGAAGCUCUUGAUCGAAGCCCCGGUAAACGGCGGCCGUAACUAUAACGGUCCUAAGGUAGCGAAAUUCCUUGUCGGGUAAGUUCCGACCUGCACGAAUGGCGUAAUGAUGGCCACGCUGUCUCCACCCGAGACUCAGUGAAAUUGAAAUCGCUGUGAAGAUGCAGUGUACCCGCGGCUAGACGGAAAGACCCCGUGAACCUUUACUACAGCUUGGCACUGAACAUUGACCCUACAUGUGUAGGAUAGGUGGGAGGCUUUGAAGCACGUACGCCAGUAUGUGUGGAGCCGUCCUUGAAAUACCACCCUUGUAGUGUUGAUGUUCUAACGUCGACCCCUUAUCGGGGUUGCGGACAGUGCCUGGUGGGUAGUUUGACUGGGGCGGUCUCCUCCCAAAGAGUAACGGAGGAGCACGAAGGUGGGCUAAUCACGGUUGGACAUCGUGAGGUUAGUGCAAUGGCAUAAGCCCGCUUGACUGCGAGAAUGACAAUUCGAGCAGGUGCGAAAGCAGGUCAUAGUGAUCCGGUGGUUCUGAAUGGAAGGGCCAUCGCUCAACGGAUAAAAGGUACUCCGGGGAUAACAGGCUGAUACCGCCCAAGAGUUCAUAUCGACGGCGGUGUUUGGCACCUCGAUGUCGGCUCAUCACAUCCUGGGGCUGAAGUCGGUCCCAAGGGUAUGGCUGUUCGCCAUUUAAAGUGGUACGCGAGCUGGGUUUAGAACGUCGUGAGACAGUUCGGUCCCUAUCUGCCGUGGGCGUUGGAAGAUUGAAGGGGGCUGCUCCUAGUACGAGAGGACCGGAGUGGACGAACCUCUGGUGUUCGGGUUGUGUCGCCAGACGCAUUGCCCGGUAGCUAAGUUCGGAAUCGAUAACCGCUGAAAGCAUCUAAGCGGGAAGCGAGCCCUGAGAUGAGUCUUCCCUGAUACUUUAAGUAUCCUAAAGGGUUGUCGGAGACUACGACGUUGAUAGGUCAGGUGUGUAAGUGCUGUGAGGCAUUGAGCUAACUGAUACUAAUUGCCCGUGAGGCUUAACCAU
RNAcentral lists this ribosomal RNA (1153 nucleotides) under Vibrio parahaemolyticus. RNAcentral's name for it is "partial 23S ribosomal RNA". It matches the Rfam family "Bacterial large subunit ribosomal RNA", at positions 1780 to 2925 of the family's 2925-position model. Lineage: Bacteria; Pseudomonadati; Pseudomonadota; Gammaproteobacteria; Vibrionales; Vibrionaceae. The record is from RNAcentral.